UUCCUACGGGGGGCUGCAGUGGGGAAUUUUGGACAAUGGGGGCAACCCUGAUCCAGCCAUGCCGCGUGAGUGAAGAAGGCCUUCGGGUUGUAAAGCUCUUUCGGACGGAACGAAAUGGUUACGGUCAAUACCCGUGACUGAUGACGGUACCGUAAGAAGAAGCACCGGCUAACUACGUGCCAGCAGCCGCGGUAAUACGUAGGGUGCGAGCGUUAAUCGGAAUUACGGGGCGUAAAGCGUGCGCAGGCGGUGUCGUAAGCUGGAGGUGAAAGCCCCGGGCGUAACCUGGGAAUGGCCUUCAGGACUGCGAGGCUAGAGUGCGGCAGAGGGAGGUGGAAUUCCACGUGUAGCAGUGAAAUGCGUAGAUAUGUGGAGGAACACCGAUGGCGAAGGCAGCCUCCUGGGCCAGCACUGACGCUCAUGCACGAAAGCGUGGGGAGCAAACAGGAUUAGAUACCCUUGUAGUCUAA
Molecule: ribosomal RNA, 470 nt
Filed under: uncultured beta proteobacterium
Lineage: Bacteria; Pseudomonadati; Pseudomonadota; Betaproteobacteria
Description: bacterial SSU rRNA
Rfam family: Bacterial small subunit ribosomal RNA
Source: RNAcentral